RNAcentral lists this ribosomal RNA (492 nucleotides) under uncultured bacterium. RNAcentral describes it as "partial 16S ribosomal RNA". It matches the Rfam family "Bacterial small subunit ribosomal RNA", at positions 28 to 507 of the family's 1533-position model. The record is from RNAcentral.
GAUGAACGCUAGCUACAGGCUUAACACAUGCAAGUCGAGGGGAAACGGCAUCGAAAGCUUGCUUUUGAUGGGCGUCGACCGGCGCACGGGUGAGUAACGCGUAUCCAACCUGCCCAUCACUUGGGAAUAACCUUGCGAAAGUAAGACUAAUGCCCAAUGACAUCCCACGAAGGCAUCCGAAUGGGAUUAAAGAUUUAUCGGUGAUGGAUGGGGAUGCGUCUGAUUAGCUUGUUGGCGGGGUGACGGCCCACCAAGGCAACGAUCAGUAGGGGUUCUGAGAGGAAGGGCCCCCACAUUGGAACUGAGACACGGUCCAAACUCCUACGGGAGGCAGCAGUGAGGAAUAUUGGUCAAUGGGCGAGAGCCUGAACCAGCCAAGUAGCGUGCAGGAUGACGGCCCUAUGGGUUGUAAACUGCUUUUAUAAGGGAAUAAAGUGGGUCACGUGUGACUUUUUGCAUGUACCUUAUGAAUAAGGACCGGCUAAUUCCGUG